RNAcentral lists this ribosomal RNA (54 nucleotides) under Garcinia morella. RNAcentral describes it as "partial 28S ribosomal RNA". The record is from RNAcentral. Lineage: Eukaryota; Viridiplantae; Streptophyta; Magnoliopsida; Malpighiales; Clusiaceae.
CCCAAGUGCACGCUGACGACUACGCCGCUCGUAGUUUAAAACAUAUGCUAUAAA